CUAACUUUGGUGGGAUAUGCGAUGUUUGAUAAGAAAUUCAUAAGGAAGAGACGCAUGGGCUCGUGGAAAUCUACAAUAAUUUGGACAACUAUUCUAUGCGUCUGUUGUACCUCCAUAGUCUGCUAUGAAUUUGUUAUGUCGAUCUUCAGGGAAGGAGAAGCCUGGACACUCUUUAUAUUAUAGUUACAACAGUGAUUAAUAACCUUAUCAUCCGUAAACUUUAUUGUCAUCACCAUGGCACGAUGAUCAUAAGUGGAAAUAUAGGCAAUAUUCAUGCAAGGUCAGGUUGAAACAUCAGUCUCCUUUCAUGGAUGCAAUCCUCUCCAGUUCUAUGCAAGGUUGAAGGAUUUGUUGAGGAUACUGACGGUAAUAAGGUUUCUACCCUGACUGGAAAGUGGGACGAGAGCAUGUACUGCCCUAUUAUUAAUGAUAAAUCUGA
Long non-coding RNA from Lolium rigidum, 439 nucleotides. RefSeq lists it as uncharacterized. Lineage: Eukaryota; Viridiplantae; Streptophyta; Magnoliopsida; Poales; Poaceae. The record is from RefSeq and is a predicted model, not a curated record. The transcript is spliced from 4 exons.